Molecule: long non-coding RNA, 851 nt
Filed under: Gadus morhua (Atlantic cod)
Lineage: Eukaryota; Metazoa; Chordata; Actinopteri; Gadiformes; Gadidae
Description: lncRNA (ENSGMOG00000031986.1)
Source: RNAcentral
AUGGUUCUGUUUGAAAAUUCUCAUGUUGGGCUGCACACAUGGAUGCAUUUAAUAUACAGGUUUGCUCAAGGUCUUCGUUUGCGGCAAGUGGACAUGCUACAGGAAGGGAUAACUGGGAGCUCUGCAACCCUGAGCAAACUUGCUGACAAGAUGCGGAGAGUUUGCAAAUCUGCGAUGAAGAGAAUGAGGAGGAGAGGCAAACAAGCUGUUGGAAGAAGAGGAGAACUCGUUAUGAUCGAUGAAAGCAAAUUUGGCCAUAAAAGAAAGUAUAACAGAGGACGGGCCUGUAACCGAAGUUCAUGGGUGUUCGGAAUGCUAGGCCUCAAGGAUGACAGAAGGAGACCCAUUCUUAAGAUUGUGCGCCACCGUUCAGCAGGCCAUCUCAUGCCCCUUAUAAAGAAGCAUGUUCGACGGGGCAGCUCCAUUAUUUCAGAUGGAUGGAGGUCUUAUCACCAUCUUCAGAAUGAAGGUUAUAAUCAUCUGACUGUGAACCAUCAGGAAUAUUUUGUCGACCCCAUUACAGGUGCACAUACACAGAACCUGGAACGUCUUUGGGGUGUUUGCAAGUCAACUAUAUGGAGACUAAGAGGGAACCGCACUCAAAAUAUGUUGAAAGAUCACUUAGAUGUAAUUGAGUGGACCUACUGGCGUGGAAACCAAUACAAAGAUGGACCACUAGGAAUGCUGUUACAUGACAUUAAGAAAAAAUAUCCUGUGAGAAAUGCAUGAGUCCUGUACUAUACUGUUCAUAAUGCGAGUUCAUACAACCAUUACAUUUUUUUUGGAUUGAUUCACUCUGGAUGUCUUCUUUACAUUUUUGGAAUUUAAAACUUUGUAGAAGGGAAGGGAAC